UACGGAGGAUCCGAGCGUUAUCCGGAUUUAUUGGGUUUAAAGGGUGCGUAGGCGGUUUGAUAAGUUAGAGGUGAAAUGUCGGGGCUCAACCCCGAAACUGCCUCUAAUACUGUUGGACUAGAGAAUAGUUGCGGUAGGCGGAAUGUAUGGUGUAGCGGUGAAAUGCUUAGAGAUCAUACAGAACACCGAUUGCGAAGGCAGCUUACCAAACUAUAUCUGACGUUGAGGCA
RNAcentral lists this ribosomal RNA (230 nucleotides) under uncultured microorganism. RNAcentral describes it as "partial 16S ribosomal RNA". It matches the Rfam family "Bacterial small subunit ribosomal RNA", at positions 524 to 753 of the family's 1533-position model. The record is from RNAcentral.